CCUACGGGAGGCAGCAGUCGGGAAUAUUGGACAAUGGGCGCAAGCCUGAUCCAGCAAUACCGCGUGUGUGAAGAAGGCCUGCGGGUUGUAAAGCACUUUCAGAUGGGAAGAUGAUGACGUUACCAUCAGAAGAAGCACCGGCUAACUCCGUGCCAGCAGCCGCGGUAAUACGGAGGGUGCAAGCGUUAAUCGGAAUUACUGGGCGUAAAGCGCGCGUAGGCGGCUAAGUCAGUCAGAUGUGAAAGCCCCGGGCUCAACCUGGGAACUGCAUUUGAUACUGCUUGGCUAGAAUGUGGUAGAGGGUUGUGGAAUUCCAGGUGUAGCGGUGAAAUGCGUAGAUAUCUGGAGGAACAUCAGUGGCGAAGGCGACAACCUGGACCAACAUUGACGCUGAGGUGCGAAAGCGUGGGUAGCAAACAGGAUUAGAUACCCUGGUAGUCCACGCCGUAAACGAUGUCAACUAGCCGUUGGGUUCAUUCAAGAACUUGGUGGCGCAGCUAACGCGUUAAGUUGACCGCCUGGGGAGUACGCCGGCAACGGUAAAACUCAAAGGAAUUGACGG
RNAcentral lists this ribosomal RNA (562 nucleotides) under uncultured bacterium. Its description in RNAcentral is "bacterial SSU rRNA". It matches the Rfam family "Bacterial small subunit ribosomal RNA", at positions 338 to 916 of the family's 1533-position model. The record is from RNAcentral.